UUCUCAGCAUCCCCACACACUCACACAGCAUACCCACCACAUCACACAUAGCUUAACACUGACCCACACUUCUCGCUAAGUCUGAACUGUAACACAGAAGGCUACUAGUCUAAUAACAUUGCUUACUUAUAAGAGUAGCCUGGUGGCAUUUCACAGUGGGGACAGUGAUCCAGAGGAGGCAGCAGAUCCAGAUCAGGGAGUUUGAGGUGAUGAGCGGUCAGACAGGCCGACAGACUGGAGGAAGUUGGCCUAUCUGCUCUGUCUCAGGCAGUUCCCUAGCGAAGACGCCCUGCUGCGGCACCAACAGCUUCAGACCUGCAGUAUGGCAACAGCAGGAUGACACUUUAAUCUCUAUGAGUCUGGGUGGAAAUAUUUUGGGUUAUUUUUAGCCCUGUCAUCUGCUCAGGGUGUGCAAUUGUCCUUUAGCUUAAACAAGCAAAACUUGGAAAUUCACAGACGAUCCAAACUAUUGGAAGCCGAGCUGGAGGAGUUGGAGAGAAAAUAUAUAGAGAGACAGAGCAUCUGAAAGAAGGGAUAAGAAUGGUGUUCCUGAACCACCAGCGCCCAAGAAGAAGAAAUUCUAUCUAGAUAUCCCUCGCCCCCCUAUCUCAAAAGCAGGGGUCUCAUAUUCCCCUAACAUAUGUUAUUGUCCAACUAUAGCCUUGAUCAAUUCAAGUUAACAGAACUAACAAAUGAAUUACAUUUGAUUAAUAUAAUUUGAUUAAUUCCCAUCUCUUCUCAACCACCUGACACACAGGAACUAUGAGCAGCCCACCAAAGACGGUCUGACUAAUGCUAACAUUGGGAACAUGAUGCUGCAGGCAAUGAGCUGGCAAGAAGGCAUCAGUACGGACCAAGGGCACACGCCUGGGCAUCAAGGGAAGCAACUACGAACUCUACGCAUCGGACACCUACAAGGACACCGUGCUCAAGGCCAUCUUUGCACGCUUCAUAGAGCUUGCGUGAACAGGGACUACAGCCGCCCCCUCCUUCCUCACCCCUACACCCUUGUUACCCCAUUAUCCCCACCACUAUGAAAAUUAUAAGAACAAGAGGAGCAUGUACAUUUGCUAUUUAAGUGUUUUGUUUGGUUUACUUUAUUUGUUCUUCCUUUCUGUGGCCAUGUACAACAGCUACAAAUAAUUAAGAUAUCAGGCAUUCUAUUAACCACAGGCCAAGCUAGUUCUUGUCCAUUUCGUGUAUUUGUUUUCCUUCCAUAUAUACUGAACAAAAAUAUAAAUGCAACAUGUAUUGUUAGUCCCAUAUUUCAUCAGCUGAAAUAAAUGAUCCCAGAAAUGUUCCACAUGCAUUUCUCUCAAAUGUGGUGCACAAAUUUGUUUACAUCCCUGUUAGUGAGCAUUUCUCCUUUGCCAAGAUAACCCAUCCACCUGACAAGUGUGGCAUAUCAGGAAGCUGAUUAAACAGCAUGAUCAUUACACAGGUGCACCAUUGUGAGGCCCAUUUUUUAAAGGUCUCUGUAACCAACCGAUGCAUAUCUCUAUUUCCAGUCAUGCGAAAUCCAUAGAUUAGGAUUAUGAACUGUAACUCAGUAAAAUCUUUGGAAUUGUUGCAUGCUGUGCUUAUAUUUUUGUUCAUAUAAAAUGCUGUCAUUAGCAUUCUGUACAGUUUGUAUAGUUAAUACAUGUGUACAGAAUCCAGAUGUGGCUGUUCUGAGCUUCUCUCUAGUUGUUUAUCUGAAACAGAUCAGAAUUAAACCUGACGUGUACUCGCGUGCUUCCAUCUAGAACUGCACUUUUUGUUUUCUGGUCUUUAAAUGUUAGAGCACGUUUUUCAUUACAAGGAUAGGGAUCAAUCCUAUGCCUUUCACAGAAUCAAAUCAGACGCAUGAAGAGAUGCUGCAAGUUACAGUAUGCCGAUGAGCACUAUAGUCAAUAUUUUGCAUUAUGUCCUGAGAGCUUUAAAUUGUUCCUUCAGUGUAGCGACUAAAUAGGCACUGUGAUUUAAUAAGGCAGUUUGAGUUCUUAGGAGGAGUACUGUGAUGUGAGUUGCCCCUCCACAGGGCUUGUCUGACUCACUGGAUAUUACUGAGCUGUUCCUCCUGGGACAGUGUGCUGGAUCCCUGACCACAACGUUACUCCUCACCACUGCUAAUCUCUCACCUCACCUGGCUUUUGUGUGUACUCACCAGAACAGAUGUGAUUCCUCCAUUGGGGUUUGACAAAUUGU
Long non-coding RNA from Oncorhynchus gorbuscha (pink salmon), 2187 nucleotides. RefSeq lists it as uncharacterized. The transcript has 5 exons. The record is from RefSeq and is a predicted model, not a curated record. Lineage: Eukaryota; Metazoa; Chordata; Actinopteri; Salmoniformes; Salmonidae.